RNAcentral lists this ribosomal RNA (72 nucleotides) under uncultured eukaryote. Its description in RNAcentral is "partial small subunit ribosomal RNA". The record is from RNAcentral.
GUCGCAUCUAUUGAUUAGGUUGUAUCAUGAGUUGAGCGGAGAUGAGUAAAAGAUCUAUCUUUUAUUUGUUGA